AACACACACAAGAUGCAAAUCCCCAGCAGGCGGAAGAAAGGAGUCCGUCCCCGGCGGCGGCCGCCGACACACAAGAUGCAGAUCGAGGUCAGCCUUUCUCCUCCCCCUAUUUCUUCUCUUCUCUGGCGAGAAAGCCCAGAUCGAUUGAUUUGUUUCCUGACCCUCAGCCGUCCCUAAUCUUUACCUGUGGCGGAUGAGUGGACUCCGAUAGACGGCGGAUGCUGCCGAGGAGAAGCCCCACCGGUUCCACCCCAUUCCAUCUCGUCCUGCUACAGCUACAUGGGAAUGCGAUGUGCUCAUGUUCUGAACCCUCCUGUCAGUUGCCUGGUUUGGUAAAGCUGUGGAUUGAUUCCUUGGGCGAUUAUAACAAUAAUGGAAGUAUGGAAUAUGUGUAUCAACACAUUUUUCAACCUGUAGUGAUGUAGCUUGAUUUCCUGUAAAACCUUAGCUAUUUGGACAAAAAAGGAACAUAUUGCAGGACCAAAUUCAGCAUUUUGCACCACUUACUUGCCUUGUUAGUCCAUUUGAUACCGACGCACACUCAAAUCAGACGGACACACUUGAAGAUUUACAACAACAAGCAAAAAACAGAGUAUGCUACAGCCCAGACUUUUUUUUUUUGCUCAUUCUAAUCUCAGCACAUGAAUGGAAGCUUCAGAUAAGGAAUGCACCAAGGGCAUCAGUAACAGAAAGGACCUGCACACGGAGGUGUCUCCUUUGGAAAUGCCUUGAGAGAUCACUUGGCCAUCAUUCCCAAGUAAGAAGAUGGACUUAUGUUAUUUCCAUUGCUAGCUGCUGCACGUAGUGUCAUCACCGCCACCUGCAGAAAUCAACAGACAAGAAGUCUCUUUUAGCAAACACAAACAUCUAUAUAUGGAUAAAUACUUGUGACCAGCUAGAGUUGUACACUUCACAUGGACUGACAAUGUAAAUUAAGUACAAGCGUGCUCCACAAUGGCUAAUCAGGCGAAAAUGCUCAGAAAUCAAUAAGGACGCAAG
This 999-nucleotide long non-coding RNA is filed under the name Triticum aestivum (bread wheat). Its description in RNAcentral is "long non-coding RNA (TAES_LNC012812)". Lineage: Eukaryota; Viridiplantae; Streptophyta; Magnoliopsida; Poales; Poaceae. The record is from RNAcentral.